GUAGGGAAUAUUGCACAAUGGGCGAAAGCCUGAUGCAGCAACGCCGCGUGCACGAUGAAGGCCUUCGGGUCGUAAAGUGCUUUUCGGGGAGAUGAGCAAGGACAGUAUCCCCGGAAUAAGGAUCGGCUAACUACGUGCCAGCAGCCGCGGUAAAACGUAGGAUCCGAGCGUUAUCCGAAUUUACUGGGCGUAAAGCGCGUGCAGGCGGUUCGGUAAGUUGGAUGUGAAAUCUCCUGGCUCAACUGGGAGAGGUCGUUCAAUACUGUCGGACUAGAGGGUAGGAGAGGGAGGUGGAAUUCCCGGUGUAGUGGUGAAAUGCGUAGAUAUCGGGAGGAACACCUGUGGCGAAAGCGGCCUCCUGGCCUAUUCCUGACGCUCAGACGCGAAAGCUAGGGGAGCGAACGGGAUUAGAAACCCCAGUAGUCC
Molecule: ribosomal RNA, 426 nt
Filed under: uncultured bacterium
Lineage: Bacteria
Description: bacterial SSU rRNA
Rfam family: Bacterial small subunit ribosomal RNA
Source: RNAcentral